RNAcentral lists this long non-coding RNA (8129 nucleotides) under Brassica napus (rape). RNAcentral describes it as "long non-coding RNA (BNAP_LNC005372)". The record is from RNAcentral. Lineage: Eukaryota; Viridiplantae; Streptophyta; Magnoliopsida; Brassicales; Brassicaceae.
ACCAAUUUACCAAAGUAUACAGAAGGACCGUGCUACCCACGUAUGGAUUUCCAUACACACUGAAUUUAAAGUUGACGCAGGGACAUGAAAAUCAAGAAAGACUACAAAUUGAAAUAUACGAAAACAUAUAUAUAUCUUGAAAACAGUGGGGAAGCGAAUAUUAAAAUACAUUUUUGUAUGUUAUUGCCAUUCAUUGAAAACAAUUAUAAGUAUAAAAAUAUAUUGAUCCAUAUAACCAAGCUUAAAAAAAAUCAAUGUACCCGUCCUACAGAAUUUUAAUAUUUUUACAUUAAACAGGAGUAUGUUUGUUUUGACUAGAUCCAGUAUACGUAAAUGCACAUGUACCUCUCAUUUUAAGAAUUUUCUUCUUUAGCUGGUCAGCACAAGCUUGACAGUGCAUGUUGACGCUGAGCUCGACGGUGGUGAGGCCGGAGACUUGAGAGGUUAUGACCGGUGGCAGCGGUUCUCCCUCGGCCGCCGGAAGCGGCGAGAGGACUUUGGCCAUUCUUUUAGUCUUCUUCUUGAUUUUGUUGCACACUGCUUGGGGAUCCAACACUCCUUUCACCGUCACUUGGUUCUCAUUCAUGUCCAUCACUACUUCUUCCACACCUAUGCAUUUUUACACAAAUAAAGUAAUUAUUCAUAUAAGAUAUAUAGGUACUUUAAAAAGUAUAGAUGCCUAGUUUCAAAUCUUAUUUUGGUUACAAUUAUUCUUUAGCUGAAUCUAUUUCUCCCUCUAUUAAUAUAUUUGUACCUCUAAUUUUUAGUAUAGAUCUUUGGAUCUUCUUAGCACAUCCUACACAAUGCAAGUCGACGUAGAGUAUGAAUGGUGGAGGCGGUGGUGGCGGCUGCGGCUCCUCCUCCACAGUUGGGUUUUCCUCCUCGGUCGCCGCUUGCUUCUCCUCCCCCACAUCUUUCUUCUUAUCCUCAGCGGAGGCGGGCUCUGGGACGGCCUCUGGAGCAGAGACUGCCUCCUUUUCCUCCUAAUAAUGAAAACAUCAGUUACCAAUUAAUAAUAAAAGGUUUUUGUUGCAAAUUAGAAUAUUGUUGAAUCUUACUUGUUUAACUUCUUCUCCCAUUUCUACAAUCACUGGAUAUUGGAAGAUGAAAUUGAAACGAAGAAGAGAGAGGGAUGUUUUGAAGGAUGAGUAGGGCAAGAGGGAGUAUUUAUAUGAAAGACUAAAAUAUAAAAAGACGAAGGAAGAAUUCGAAUUAUUGAUGAAUAAUGAAGGUUAUAGUAUAAGGUAGGAAUUAACAGAACAUAAAGCAUAAGAGGUUGAUUCCAUAGCACAUGGCAGAGAACUAAUCAUCGAACAUAUAUAGACACACCCCCUUCACCCUUGUACCUUAUAUAUAUAUUUAUUCUCACAUUCAGUUAUGUUUUAAUUAUAACUUUUUUUACAAACAACUUAUUCGACUUUUUUCGGUUUACUUUUUUUGUGAAAAGGUUUUGUUUUACCAUUUUUUUAAGAGGGCUGUGAACAGAUGUUGGUAUGUUUUAUAGACAUAUAAAGUGGGUGUUCUUUAUCAUUUCCGAUUAUCCUACUAUAUAUUAAUUGAUAAGUCACUUUAGUGAUUUUUGCUUACGUGUCAAUCAUUGGUGAACUCUUACAAAAUUAUUAAAAUUUGAUUGGUCGAUGAUAUUUUAUUUUUAUUUAUUUUAAUUAGAUCUAAAAAAAAAGUCUACAACCAAUUAAUAUCACUUGCCAAAUAAUUACAUAAUAUUACAAAAAUGAUUUAUGGUAACUAAUUGUUGAAAUUAUAGAAAGUGAAAUAAAUUGAUAAUUUUAAAUUUAAAAAAUACAUAAAAUAAUAAACGACAAACCAUUUAUAUAAAUCAACAUAAUGAUUUUAUAUUCUUAUAUAAAAGUAUUAUAUUUUAUAUAAAUUAUCAUAAUAACUAUUAACAUCUUUUAAAGUUCAUAUUAUAUGCUUUAUAAAUCAUCUAUAAAAACAUUUAUCAAAUUAUUUAUCUUGGCUUAUUGUAUAUUUUAAAUUAUUAUAAGAGUUUGUAAGUCAUCUAUAAGAGCUUAAAAUCAAAGCUAUAUAUCCUACUAUAUAUUAAUUGAGAAGUUAUUUAAGAGAUUUUUGGUUAUGUGUCGAUCAUUUAUGAAAUCUUUAAGAACUGGUAUAAAUUGAUUGUCGAUAAUUUUUAAUUUUGAUUUAUUUUUAUUUAUUUUAAUUAGAUUUAAAAGAAAAAAUAAGUCUAUAAACAGUUAAUAUCACUUGCCAAACAAUCUACAUAAUAUUACAAAUAAUUAUUUAUGGUAACUAAUUGUUGAAACUAUACAAAGAGUAAUAAUGUUUGAUCAAUUUUUAUAUAUUUAUAAACUACAUAAAAAUAGUAAACACAUUUAUUUAUUACAUCGAUAUAAUGAUUUUAUAUUCUUAUAUAAAGCCUUAUAUUUGCAUAUAAAGUAUUAUAAUAACUAUUAAUAUCUAAUAAAAUUCAUACAUGCUUUAUAAAUCAUUUAUAAAAACAUAAAUACAUUUAUAAAAUUAAUUAUCUUGGCUUAUCAUAUGUUUUAAAUUAUGAUAAGAGGUUUUAAUUUAUUUAUACAAGCUUAUAAAUUAAUUUAUAAAAUAUAUUUUUAAAUUUAAUUUUAUAUUAAAUGAUAAAUCACUUAAUUGAUUUUUUUCUUAGGUGUCGAUCAUAUAUAGAAUAUGAGAAAAAAUAUUAUAAUUUGAUUUGUUAAUGGGUUUUCAAUUUUUAUUUAUUUUAUGAGUAUGAAAAUUAGUUCUAGAAAUAAUUUUAUCAGUAUCCAAAACCUAAAUAUAUUGCACAAAAUAAUAUAUGGUAAUUAAAUAUGUUAUUUAUACAAUAUAUAUAAUGCUUCAUAAAAUCAUUUUUAGCAAUCAAGUAUUUCUAAACUAUAUAAAAUAUUUCAAAAUUUUUAGUAUUAUAUACCUUUAAAACUUAAGUAGUUUUAUUAAAAACUGAAUCAUGAAUAUUAUACAUAACUAAUUUUAGUACAAUUAUCAAUACAAAAUAUCAAAAAAUAUUUAAAAUAGUCAUAUUUAUCCUUUUUAAAACAAUUAUUCUUUGAAUAAAUAUUUAACAAAAACACAUAAUGAUAAAAACAUAUUUUAAUUUGAAAAAUUAUAAUAAAUAUAUUGUUACAAAACAUUUAAAUCCGCGAAACCGCAUGCAUCCACUUAAUUGCUUUGUAAAUGUAAUCACACGUAAUAUUUAGUUGCACUUAAGACUACUUUUUGGCAUACAAAUCAAUUUUUUUCUUUUUUUUUGCUAAAUCAAAUUUUUUCUUCAACAUGCGGAUUCAGUUUUUUUAAGUUUUGAUAUAGCGAACAUCAUCCUCAUGGUUGCACAUGCAAACGAACCACUAACACAACGAAGGAUUCAUUAUAAAAUUCAUUCAUGGGAGAAAGAUAUAUUCUUGAUAACGAGGAAAAUAAUAUAUAAGUAAAAAUAACCAUGGGACAAUAAUUUUUGGCAUCGAAAAGGACAAUACUUUGCAUCAUACUCACCGACUUUAGUGAUUACAUUAUAUAUUAAUUAUUCCUUCAUUUGUUAUAUAGAGGGAAUUUCUUUCGAAAUUCCUACUUUAAAGUCUAAUGUAUCUAAGUCAUAACCCAAUGUCGUUCGAGAAAAGAUGAUGAGAUGACUUGUCAUCAUCUCUACGACUCUCACACUCUACUUUUGACUAAUUUUUAUUUAUUAAGAGAAUAUUAGUUAUACAUUAUAGAGGUUAUAGCUUAAGGAAAGUAUUAUGUUUCUAUCUUUGUUAAAUAUUGGUGCUAAUAAACCUUAGUUACUCGUUCGUAUUCCUAAAUUUAAUAGAAGUUUCAUUAAAAAAUAAACUCUAAGUAUCUAACCUUUUAUUUUUGUAUUAGUGCGUCGUCGUCAUUUGCCAGUAUUAUGUAAUUAAGGAUAUUAUAAAAUGUUAAAAGUUAUCAUAUACUCCUCUCUUUACUUUUGUUUAAUUAAUACUUACAUUUUUUUUUCGAACUUUGCUUAUUGCAUAUAUUGCACAAACUACAUAGUGAAAUCAGUCAAAUGCACUAAGAUUGAUCAUAUGUGGCUCUCCUAUCUCCAACAUUGGGUUGGGGAACAAUAAUUGAAUCUGAUUUACAGUGGUAGGGUUUAUCUGUCAACUGCUAAAACAGUGCAUUUGCCAUAACAUUCACUCAUUCUGCACUUUCAUUGUCGGCUCAAUGAUGAUAAAUUCUGUUUACAACAUCAUACGAGAAAACCGUAGAAGAACGACGUUACUGACAGCCGAAACUUUUUGUAAAGUUUUAUGCACACUAUUAUAGUUUUUCUUUUUUACCUUACAAUUUUAUUAUAGUUUGAAUUUUUGCGCAACACUGCGGCGCACAUAAAUAAUAAAAAUUUCUCAGGAAUUAUGUUUUUUUCUCCUUGUCCAAAUAUUUUCGAAUAGUUUGACCUUUGAAGUGGAUAGAGAAGACAAAUCAAACUGUAGUUUUAUUCAUUGUAUGGAACUAUGCAAAGAAUUUAAUCUUGGUUCCUUAAAGCAGAUUUGUAGAUUUGAUUUAUUUCCUUUUAGAAGAAGCAUCUAAAUCCUUUACCUAUAAGUUCGGUCAGUUCUAUUACCGACACUAUUAACAAUCUAAUCAGUAGAAAACUCAUUAAACACUGUGUUUUAUAUUACAGUAUAUCAUUAAAAUUUUACAAACCAAAUAUAAUUUGGCAUGGGUGCAGCGUGGGGUGCACAACAAAUUUUGAAAAAGAAAUAUUAAAUAUUAUUUGUGAAUUAAAAAAUUUGUAAGAACCACGUGGGAUGAUUUUGAUUAAAUUUGGACAAAUGAAAGAUGAUCUAUAUAAUUGUUUCGCAGUUAAAGACAGCUAUGAAAGCAUUUUCAAAGAAAAUUCUAUUUUUUUCUCUAAAAUAAAGUAAAAAUAAUAUAAAAUAAAAAUAACUUUAUUUUAUUUUUUAUUCCUUCAUAUAUGAACAAAAAAGAUUUAUUUUAUUUGUGGAGUGAAAAAAAUAAUAUUAUGAAUAAUUUUUAUUUUAUAAUCUCUUUUACUCUAUUUUAAAAUAAAAAAAAUAGAAAAUGAUUGGAGAUGCCGUGGGAAACCAAUAGCGGAUGGUUACUUUUUAUUAUGCGACUAAUGUUAUUUAACGUCACGACAAUUGUUAUGUCACGUAUUAUUAUUACUUUUGAUUGAGCAUUACGUAACUAUUUUGAAUUUGAAUAUACGCAAAGUGAAACGUCGUGAUGAACGAAAUUUUGGAACCUCAUCCUCAUAUCGCACAUGCAUUUUGUUACCAAUCUAAACCAAGGUGUGUAAGUGUAACCGAAACCGGUCCAAAAAGGUUAAAGAGCCAUAAAUACCUAUAUAGUACAUAUUAAUUCUUUAAAAUUUGAGAGCUAAUUAAGACAAAUAAUUUAUUAAGUGUUGCCCAGAACCAGUCGUGUAUGUAAAAUCACAUGUGCGCUUUUUGAUUUAUUGCAGCCUUAAAAUAUAGAUGCGUAUGUAUAACAAAAUAUAAGCUACAGUUGGAUGAUCAUAAUUAGAAACUCAAGUGAUCCAAAGUGUGAUGAGAAUUCACUCAGAUUCUUGAUGCAUGUAGCUGAGCGGUUUCAAAUCCAUGUUUGGUACUACGAGUAACUUCUGAUUAGGGAUAAUUAUAAUAAAUCAGAAAACUGAUCCAAAUACAAUCUUAUACUCAAUUAACUUGAUUCGAAACCCGGGUCAUAGAUCUAGCCUUCAAGUAUAAAUUAGUUAGAGAUAUUAUAUUGUGGAUGCUUAAUAGAUUUUUAUUAGAAUUUAUUUUUACAACAUUCUUAAGAAUUUAGUUUAGCUUAUAUUUACUUAUAUAACGAUAUGCUUUUUUUAAUUCCAAUAGUCAGUAAUCAUCUUUGAUACAUUCUGAUUUUUAUCUAAUUAUACAUAUAUUCACAGUUAAACAUAUGUUUUAACUGUGUGUCUUAGUCUAUACGCCAAAAUAUCUGAUAGAUUUAAAGCAGAACACUAUUUCUUAAUAUUUAAUAUAUGAUUAUGUAUAUUUUCUUAAUUAAUAUGAAAUCAUGUUUGAUUGUACUAAUCAAAUGUUGUAUAGUGGUAUUCAACAUAAGAAAAGCCUUGGUCAGAAAAUAAUAAGAAAAUCCUUGAUGAGAGAUUAUGAUUGGUGAGGUCAUCCAUUUUUUUAUUUUUCUUUCUACUUUAUAGUAAUACUAGUGGUGUGUCCGCGCUACGCGCGGGUUGUCUAUAUUUUUAAAAUAUUUUUCUUGUUGUUUUCCUUUUGUAAAUAUAUUUUAUUUUUUUAUAAGGAAGCUACGCGCGGGUUGUCUAUAUUUUUAAAAUAUUUUUCUUGUUGUAUUCCUUUUGUAAAUAUAUUUUAUUUUUUAUAAGGAAUUAUUUUGAGUUGAUAUAUUUUGUGUCAGUACUCAACUUUUUUACCUAAACUACUUAUAUAUAAAAACAAAAGGAGUAUGAUCUAAGCUAGGUAUAAGUUAUUAGAACUGUUUAUUCUUAGGAGACAAUAGAAUUAGUAAACGGUUUAAAGGAAGAAAAAAAAUACAAUUAUGAUUUUUUUAAACUUACAACCCCUUUUCUAUAUUGUAAAGAUGUCUGAAAUCAUAGAUGUGUUUUCCUGCAUACUGGAUAGCUUAUGUUUCUACAAACCCAUUCAUUAAUGAAGUAAAAAUGAAAAUUAUGACUGUAAGUAAGAGAGCAUAGGUUGUUUCUAUAGUUGUAAUUUCUGAAGCGUAUAGUGCAUGUAUUGUUUUCUUGUUCUGUCAUCGGAGGCCUAAUAGUUUUCUCAAAUUGGUGAUGAUAAGGUUGAUGUCUAGUCUUACAAUUGUGUUGGAAUUAUUGUACGUGAUGGGAAGUGUAAAUUUAAAAUCAGCAGUUAUGUUAUAUUGUUGUUGGCUGUCAUGAGGUAUUGGCUAUUCUCGUGAACAAGGAAGCUGGAGUUGGGAUGGUGAAUCUCAUGGUACAUUAAAUUAUAUAUUCUUUAUGUAUUUUUCAUUUGAUUUAUACUUUCAUUAUUUUCUNNNNNNNNNNNNNNNNNNNNNNNNNNNNNNNNNNNNNNNNNNNNNNNNNNNNNNNNNNNNNNNNNNNNNNNNNNNNNNNNNNNNNNNNNNNNNNNNNNNNAUGCAACAAGCGUUAGGGUUCUCGUCGCUGAAAAGCUGCGGCGGAGGAACCCUUUCUAUGACGUAUGAAGGCUGAUAAUAAUACAUCAUCCUCUUCAUCCCUUCUUCUUCCCACACACGCAUCUCUUCCGAAGCCUCCAUCUCUUCUCCGUCACCGUCCUCUUCCUUUUCAUCUCCCGCCUCCUUCUCCUCUCCUGUUUCUGCGGGUUCCUCACCGCCUUCACCGGUCUCCUCCUUCUUUUCUUCCUCCACCUCAGGUUUUUCAGCUUCCGGGUCGGGUUGGGGUACGAUUCGGGCCUGCUUUUUGGUCCGACGGUAGACGUAGUCCACAAGUUUCUCUUCGUCCAUCGUCCCAGUCACUAUUACUUUUCCGUUGGUGUGCUCCGUUACAGUUGUUUGGACCCCUAAAAGCAAGAAUAUUAAUCAGUUUAAAUGAAUUAAGUUACACCAAUUUACCAAAGUAUACAGAAGGAACCGUGCUACCCACGUAUGGAUUUCCAUACAAACUGAAUUUAAAGUUGACGCAGGGACAUGAAAAUCAAAAAAGACUACAAAUUGAAAUAGUAUUGUGAUAUACGAAAACAUAUAUAUAUCUUGAAAACAGUGGGGAAGCGAAUAUUAAAAUACAUUUUUGUAUGUUAUUGCCAUUCAUUGAAAACAAUUAUAAGUAUAAAAAUAUAUUGAUCCAUAUAACCAAGCUUAAAAAAAAUCAAUGUACCCGUCCUACAGAAUUUUAAUAUUUUUACAUUAAACAGGAGUAUGUUUGUUUUGACUAGAUCCAGUAUACGUAAAUGCACAUGUACCUCUCAUUUUAAGAAUUUUCUUCUUUAGCUGGUCAGCACAAGCUUGACAGUGCAUGUUGACGCUGAGCUCGACGGUGGUGAGGCCGGAGACUUGAGAGGUUAUGACCGGUGGCAGCGGUUCUCCCUCGGCCGCCGGAAGCGGCGAGAGGACUUUGGCCAUUCUUUUAGUCUUCUUCUUGAUUUUGUUGCACACUGCUUGGGGAUCCAACACUCCUUUCACCGUCACUUGGUUCUCAUUCAUGUCCA